GAGGUUGAUCAUGGCUCAGAUUGAACGCUGGCGGCAGGCCUAACACAUGCAAGUCGAACGGUAACAGGAAGCAGCUUGCUGCUUCGCUGACGAGUGGCGGACGGGUGAGUAAUGUCUGGGAAGCUGCCUGAUGGAGGGGGAUAACUACUGGAAACGGUAGCUAAUACCGCAUAAUGUCGCAAGACCAAAGAGGGGGACCUUCGGGCCUCUUGCCAUCGGAUGUGCCCAGAUGGGAUUAGCUUGUUGGUGGGGUAACGGCUCACCAAGGCGACGAUCCCUAGCUGGUCUGAGAGGAUGACCAGCCACACUGGAACUGAGACACGGUCCAGACUCCUACGGGAGGCAGCAGUGGGGAAUAUUGUACAAUGGGCGCAAGCCCGAUGCAGCCAUGCCGCGUGUAUGAAGAAGGCCUUCGGGUUGUAAAGUACUUUCAGCGGGGAGGAAGGGAGUAAAGUUAAUACCUUUGCUCAUUGACGUUACCCGCAGAAGAAGCACCGGCUAACUCCGUGCUAGCAGCCGCGGUAAUACGGAGGGUGCAAGCGUUAAUCGGAAUUACUGGGCGUAAAGCGCACGCAGGCGGUUUGUUAAGUCAGAUGUGAAAUCCCCGGGCUCAACCUGGGAACUGCAUCUGAUACUGGCAAGCUUGAGUCUCGUAGAGGGGGGUAGAAUUCCAGGUGUAGCGGUGAAAUGCGUAGAGAUCUGGAGGAAUACCGGUGGCGAAGGCGGCCCCCUGGACGAAGACUGACGCUCAGGUGCGAAAGCGUGGGGAGCAAACAGGAUUAGAUACCCUGGUAGUCCACGCCGUAAACGAUGUCGACUUGGAGGUUGUGCCCUUGAGGCGUGGCUUCCGGAGCUAACGUUAAGUCGACCGCCUGGGGAGUACGGCCGCAAGGUUAAAACUCAAAUGAAUUGACGGGGGCCCGCACAAGCGGUGGAGCAUGUGGUUUAAUUCGAUGCAACGCGAAGAACCUUACCUGGUCUUGACAUCCACGGAAGUUUUCAGAGAUGAGAAUGUGCCUUCGGGAACCGUGAGACAGGUGCUGCAUGGCUGUCGUCAGCUCGUGUUGUGAAAUGUUGGGUUAAGUCCCGCAACGAGCGCAACCCUUAUCCUUUGUUGCCAGCGGUCCGGCCGGGAACUCAAAGGAGACUGCCAGUGAUAAACUGGAGGAAGGUGGGGAUGACGUCAAGUCAUCAUGGCCCUUACGACCAGGGCUACACACGUGCUACAAUGGCGCAUACAAAGAGAAGCGACCUCGCGAGAGCAAGCGGACCUCAUAAAGUGCGUCGUAGUCCGGAUUGGAGUCUGCAACUCGACUCCAUGAAGUCGGAAUCGCUAGUAAUCGUGGAUCAGAAUGCCACGGUGAAUACGUUCCCGGGCCUUGUACACACCGCCCGUCACACCAUGGGAGUGGGUUGCAAAAGAAGUAGGUAGCUUAACCUUCGGGAGGGCGCUUACCACUUUGUGAUUCAUGACUGGGGUGAGGUCGUAACAAGGUA
This 1497-nucleotide ribosomal RNA is filed under the name metagenome. Its description in RNAcentral is "bacterial SSU rRNA". It matches the Rfam family "Bacterial small subunit ribosomal RNA". The record is from RNAcentral.